UUCUGGCUCAGGAUGAACGCUGGCGGCGUGCCUAACACAUGCAAGUCGAGCGAAGAUGAAGAAGCUUGCUCAGAUCUAGCGGCGGACGGGUGAGUAACGCGUGGGCAACCUACCUAUACAGGGGGAUAACAAUGGGAAACCAUUGCUAAUACCCCAUAAAGCAUUUGAGGGGCAUCCCUUGAAUGCCAAAGAAUUUCGGUAUAGGAUGGGCCCGCGUCGCAUUAGCUAGUUGGUGAGGGUAAUGGCUCACCAAGGCGACGAUGCGUAGCCGGCCUGAGAGGGUGAACGGCCACACUGGAACUGAGACACGGUCCAGACUCCUACGGGAGGCAGCAGUGGGGAAUAUUGCACAAUGGGGGAAACCCUGAAUGCAGCAACGCCGCGUGAGCGAUGAAGGCCUUCGGGUCGUAAAGCUCUGUCCUAAGGGAAGAUAAUGACGGUACCUUAGGAGGAAGCCCCGGCUAACUACGUGCCAGCAGCUGC
RNAcentral lists this ribosomal RNA (483 nucleotides) under uncultured bacterium. RNAcentral describes it as "bacterial SSU rRNA". It matches the Rfam family "Bacterial small subunit ribosomal RNA", at positions 17 to 518 of the family's 1533-position model. The record is from RNAcentral.